CAGAUAGAAAAGAUAGUUCAGCACUUGCUGAAUAGAAGUAAGAAUGGGGGAGACCCCUUUUCGCCUUGACCAAGUGGAAAAACUCUCACUUAGCCAGGCUUCAACAGGACAAACUUCCAGCUGAGAGGAGAAAACCACAUCACCUGCUACUGACUGCUUAAAAUUAAGAGCUCAAAAACUGAAAUUCCCUUUUACAAGAUCCCUUUUCAGAGCUCUACACUAGCAGCCUAUCUCUGCACAAUUUAAUGUGAAAAAUUAAGGCAGACUCUUACCAAAUAUAGAAGUAGUGACCAUAAACUAGAGGUGGAAACAGGACACACAAAGCACAGCACCUACACAGAGAAGUGAUUUCACAACGAAUCUGGGAGAAGAGAAAAGCUUCUUUUUGCGCCACAGUCCAAAGUACAAGGAAAUAGGAAAGACUUACUCAUAUAUUAUGAAAAAACCAUUUACAUUAAAAAGCAAUGAGUGGAAAGAGACAUAAAUUUGAAUGGGACCUGAUCUGGGAGUCAUGCUCAAAGGCCACCUAGCUGCUUAGGCCCCAUAUGUGAUUUAUGCAGCCAAAUGCCUACCUUCUCCUGGCUUGUGAAUCACUUUGGGGCCAAGGUGGGGGAUAAGUCUCUGGAUGCCUACAGUGGAUCACCAGGGCACAUACCCCAGAGUUUUAAAAACUUAAGCACCUGGGGAAUUUUUACAGUGGAAAGUUAGGCAGAGUGAGUUUAAGCAUCUACACCAGUGGUUUUCAACCUUUUCUCAUCUAUGGACCCCUACAAGUUUUCAAAUGGAGGUGCGGACCCUUUUGGAAAUUUCAUCUGUGGUCCAUGGACCCCUACCAUAGAAGUCUUAGACUGAAAACUGACUGAACAGAAUUCAAUUAUAAAUGUUGCACAUCCUUAGCACAGCAUUUGAUGCAGCGUGAGAAAGGGCGCUGAACUGUGAGCUCCUAUGGUAAUGAUAACACUUCCAGGUUUUGUCCUGUAGGCGGGGUAUUCACAUACUUUUGAUCAGAAAAACAGAAAGCCUUUCCUGGGAUCUGAAAUUUAAUUUUCAUAGUUACCUAUUGCAGACGCCUCAGACAUAGUCUGUGGACCCCCAGUUGAAAACCACUAGUCUCCAGGGUUAGGUGGCAGCCAAGCAGGAAUUUCACGGAGUGCAGCGGUACUGCAUACAGGACUUAGGCACCUAAACUGCUUUGUAAAUCACACCUUUAAAGUUUAGAAAGACUUAGUUUUCAGUUAUAUCAGCAGGUACCGGAGAACUUAGACCUAGAAAUAUCUACUCAAAUUAAGAGUUACAACAAAAUAGUCAGACUAUCCAAUGCUAUCCUCACUCCACUAACUGUAUUCCUAACCACAACAACAGCUUUUCUAUACAGAUAGGUCUGCCCUAAAUAUAGGUUUCAAGAAACCAGUCUAGAAGACUGCAUCGCUGGGGGAGGGAGGGCAGAGGGGAAAGACAACUUUAACACCAGAAUGUCUUUGGUGUAUGUCCACACCUAACACUGGAUAGCAAACAGUUGUUUAUCUGAGUUAUUUUUAACCACCUAAACCUCCCUAGAAUAGGGUUACCAUAUUUCAGGUUCCCCAAAAGAGGACAUUGGGAGGGGAAACUGGAAAGAGGUACAGUUGGGGGAGCUGCAGGGGAUACCUGCGGCAGUGGUACUCACUGGAGGUGGGAGGCAGUGUCGCGCCCUGUCAUGGUGGCAGGACAGCUGGCACAAGCCCAGGACGCAGCAACAGCUCUCAGUCAGUGCAUCCCUAGGCCUGUGUGGGCAGGACCCAGCAGCUUUGGCUGCAGGGGAAUGGACCAAACAGUUGCUGAUGCAGGGGAGUACCAAUCAGGAAGCAGUCCAAUCAGAGUUCUUUCUGAGCUGCAGCCUCUGCUCCGAAAAAAUCCCAGACAUUUCCUGUUUGAAAAAUCCACCCAGACAUAGGAAAAGAGGAAAUAUCUAGGAAAACCUGGACAUAUGGUAACCGUACCCUAGAAUGACAAGAUUUGAACCUAUUGUACUCACACAAUCAUUCUGAAAAAUUCAUAAUCUUAAAACUACAGAAAACCAGAAGCCUCCAAAGCCAUUUCCCUCUGUGAUACAAGUGAUCUGUCCCCACAGCUGAACUAUUUGUUACUACUCUGAUAUAAUGGAUAAUGUACACCAAAUUCUUAAGCUAACUAAACCACCACAACCCUACUUGCCUUUUCUUCAAGAAUCUCAUCUGUUUUGUAAGUAAAAAGGUGAGAAACAGCUUUAAUCAGGAUUACUUCAAAGAUGUGAGUACCAUUUAUACUAACUACUAUUAAUAUUCCUUCUAACCAACUUCAUUGUAGCUACAGGAGAGGAACUUGAAGGUUUAGUGAGGUUUUUAGGUAUUCCACAUGUCUGUUACAAGACAGCGACAGACAUAAAAAUGGCAAUUGUAUGUCCACUUUACAGAGGUUGAAGGAACUAGAGGAAGAUGAUCAGUCCUUUAUACUAAACUAAAAAUAAAGAUGGCAAGUGUCUGAUUUCCCCAAAGCUCAUCUUAUUUUUAAGUGGUUCAAAGGAUCAUUUACAGCUUAGUUUAUAGAUUAAUUAAUGAUUACGUUUAUUUUGUUUUUCACAUGUAAUGAUCUUGCUUCUUCAUUCUACCACAUAUGCUAAAUGAGGAACAGAAUACUUCAUUUUCUUCUUGUUUUUCUGUACCUAGAGCAAAGCAUUUUAUCCUAAUUUUCCCUCCAUACGCAGGUAUUGUUCAUUGAUUAGCACCAUGAUGCUUUUUAGUUUGUGUGGAGGUUGCAGCUGUUGGUCCUUUCUGUAUAUUCCAUUUCAUGCUGAUUGAGCUGCAGCUGUAACAAACUAGAUCUCUAUUAGUUUAAAAAUAAAACCCUAAACAAUGUUUUCAGUAUGUUCUUAAAGUUCCUCCAUACCUACCUCUGCUUUUUAAGCAGCUGCCUGCAACUAUUUUGAAGCUUCUAGCUUUGGUUUUUUUUAAACAUUUGUAGUGUUAAAUAUCUUGUUUAAAACAA
Mauremys reevesii (Reeves's turtle) is the source of this 3003-nucleotide long non-coding RNA. RefSeq lists it as uncharacterized. NCBI's taxonomy places the organism in Eukaryota, Metazoa, Chordata, Testudines, Geoemydidae. The transcript is spliced from 2 exons. The record is from RefSeq and is a predicted model, not a curated record.